AUUUUUAUCUGAAUUUUUUAUUUUAAUAUGAUUAAUUUAAAAUCAAAAAUAAAAAAAUGUAUUAGACUAUUAAUUAUUCGGGGACCGGGGACCCUCGGGGAUCCCCUGUUAUUAUUCGGGGAGGGGAUGUGGAUUCUCUCAAACAAUUCUGACGGGGACGGGGAGGAGACGGUGACAUACGCAAAAUAUCGGGGAUGGGUAUAGAGAGAUUGGUCCCCUCCCCUCCCCUCCUCAUUGCCAUCCCUAUUGCCCAGAUCUCAAAGAUCUAAGAUUAAGGUACGUCUUCAUUAUCAUUUCUGUUAUUACGUAUGUUUUGGAUUAGAUACUUAGAAAAUUUUAUGUUUAAUUUAC
Molecule: long non-coding RNA, 351 nt
Filed under: Citrus sinensis (sweet orange)
Lineage: Eukaryota; Viridiplantae; Streptophyta; Magnoliopsida; Sapindales; Rutaceae
Description: long non-coding RNA (CSIN_LNC003276)
Source: RNAcentral